GCCGGCGUAGCUCAGUUGGUAGAGCAGCUGAUUUGUAAUCAGCAGGUCACUGGUCCGAUUCCAGCCGCCGGCUCCA
Molecule: transfer RNA, 76 nt
Filed under: bacterium
Lineage: Bacteria
Also listed under: 2 other names
Description: tRNA-Thr
Rfam family: tRNA
About the family: Transfer RNA (tRNA) molecules are approximately 80 nucleotides in length. Their secondary structure includes four short double-helical elements and three loops (D, anti-codon, and T loops). Further hydrogen bonds mediate the characteristic L-shaped molecular structure. tRNAs have two regions of fundamental functional importance: the anti-codon, which is responsible for specific mRNA codon recognition, and the 3' end, to which the tRNAs corresponding amino acid is attached (by aminoacyl-tRNA synthetases). tRNAs cope with the degeneracy of the genetic code in two manners: having more than one tRNA (with a specific anti-codon) for a particular amino acid; and 'wobble' base-pairing, i.e. permitting non-standard base-pairing at the 3rd anti-codon position.
Source: RNAcentral